Non-coding RNA from Macaca mulatta (Rhesus monkey), 927 nucleotides. Lineage: Eukaryota; Metazoa; Chordata; Mammalia; Primates; Cercopithecidae. The record is from RefSeq and is a predicted model, not a curated record.
ACACACACACACACACACACACACACACGACUCCAGACUCUGCGAACCAAAGACACACACUCAGUGAGGACAAGCACGCGCCGCAAACGACCCCCGGCCGCAGCUCGCAGAUCCCCGCGCAGGCACCGCGGGCACCGGGACGCGCAGUCCCCGCACUUGCUCGGGACCCAGGCUCGCGCCAGCCCCGCAGCUCGAUGCAGCCCAGGGCGCGGGCGCACCCUCACGCCGCAGCCGCUCCCGUCUCUCCGGGCGCCCACCCUUACCGCGCGCGGCCAGCAGGCAGAAGGGUGGACAGAGAGCUGCUGUAUUUACCCAGCAUUGAGAUCGUGAGACCUAGACUGGGAAAGGAGCAACAAUAGGAAAGAAGAGGAAUGGACGGUUGAGACAGCUUAAAGCAAUUAACUGGCACGGCAACACAUCAAGUACCCAACUGAACUGCAGACAGUGGUAUACACAUGCAUGCUUAGGGAUGCAACUAUGACAAGGUAUGUGCUCAGUAAUUAAGCCAGCACAGACAGGUCAUUUUACAGAGAAGCUUUGUGGUUUCCAGAACCAUCCUGGCCAGAGGACUGACCUUCCUGCAAAUAACUGUCACUUCUGAGUAGGAUGUUAAGCUAUGCCACAUCUACAGGGUGUUUUUCCAGUAAAGAUGGGGGAGUCCUGGAGCUAGCUAAGGACAACUAUCCUGGCUAAUUGCUUCCCCAAACUUCUAUUUUAAGAACACAGGUUUGGAGUCCAAUUUAGAGAGAGCGUCUUUUAGUAAGGAGUAAGGAACAAACAGCAGACUGAACAAUCUGUGUCUUUCAGAGCUGAAAUUACAAUGGGAGCUCAAACUCUUCCAGGGUGAUAGAACCAGAAGAUGAAUCCUUAAAUCCUAGUAAAUCCCCAAACUACACCGAACCCAAAAUAAAAUUAUACUCUGGUUAU